RNAcentral lists this long non-coding RNA (467 nucleotides) under Brassica napus (rape). Its description in RNAcentral is "long non-coding RNA (BNAP_LNC024079)". The record is from RNAcentral. Lineage: Eukaryota; Viridiplantae; Streptophyta; Magnoliopsida; Brassicales; Brassicaceae.
AGAGGCUCUCGGAUUUCAAAAGCGACAAUCGCGAGAACACCGAAACAUUUAUGUAUCUAAAUCUGAAGUAAUUUUUUGUUGCAAGUCGGUAUGUGUAAACAAUGUAACCCCAAAUUUUGAGGAAUUGCAUUUGGACUCUACUGUUCAUUCUAUUAUGGUUUCAAUUUGUUUAUCCUACAUGAAUACAAAUGGAAUAAUUUUUAGAUAUCUGAAUAUGAAGUAAUUUUCUGUUUUAUGUCUAAUUCAUUAUUUGUAAUCGCGUUAAACUAGAAGUUUGGGCCUUUGUGUAUGUUCUUAUGAGCUGAAUAUAAUACUAGUUAACAAAACUAAAUAGAAUAAUGUGUAGUGGUGUCAAAUACACUAUAUUGGUUAAGAAGAAAUGUACAUAGAAUACUACUUGCAUGAGAAAAUAUAAUAGAUAUGUCUUACAUGGUUUCCAUUCUACAUUGUUGUUCUACUCUACUUAA